AAAAUCAAAACCCGGAAAACAAAAAUAUCAACGCCAUUUCUUCUUCGCCCGCCCUCUCCCCUCUUCCUCUGCAACGAGUCUCUCUCUUUAUCCAUGCAACUUCGAAAGUUAAUAGGGCCACAAUAUGGACUAGUAAAUGGUUCAUCUCUGGACACCAAAUGACUGAAACAGAGGGAUGGCAACCCGGAGUAACUACACUGGAGGCUACGAAUUAUUGAGCUCUCUACUCAAAACCAUGUAUUGAAUUAGUGUCUUUUUUUUAAAAUUUUGAUGGGUUUCUCUCCCUCUUCUUUGGUUUGAUAGAAUUCAUGGCCUUUAUAGUGAAAACCCUAUAAAAUUUCAGGGAAGAACGAUGGAAGAUUACGUUUUCAUGCCUGCAAAUGAGGAGAGGAUUAGGGAAAAGAAAAGACAGAACAAUGGAUUGAGGAGGAGGUUUUGGCAUUUGGGAUGAGAAAGACAGAGAGGAGGAGGGUGGGGCGUGCGAGAUGAGGAAGAGAGAAUGCUGGAGCAGGAAAAAGACCCUACGAAUAGAGAGAGAGAGUGAGUGAGAUUUGACCUAAAACAACCGAGAAGAGUGAUUGCCAGAGGUGCUGGCAUGAGAGAGAGGAACGGCACACGAUGAGAGAGAUAAGUGUUUGCAGUUGUUUUGGUGGGGUUUGUGAUCGAAGGUUUCUAUGGGGUUCUAAAGAGAGAGGUUACACACCCAUUAAAAAACCUCUACUGUAAAAAAAUGAUAGUUUCUCCCCGAAUUUUACUGUUUUGGGAAACAACGACGAUGACGA
Molecule: long non-coding RNA, 782 nt
Filed under: Amborella trichopoda
Lineage: Eukaryota; Viridiplantae; Streptophyta; Magnoliopsida; Amborellales; Amborellaceae
Description: long non-coding RNA (ATRI_LNC004652)
Source: RNAcentral